RNAcentral lists this non-coding RNA (106 nucleotides) under Arsenicicoccus sp. RNAcentral describes it as "TPP sequence". It matches the Rfam family "TPP riboswitch aptamer (THI element)". Rfam says of the family: Vitamin B(1) in its active form thiamin pyrophosphate (TPP) is an essential coenzyme that is synthesised by coupling of pyrimidine and thiazole moieties in bacteria. The previously detected thiamin-regulatory element, thi box was extended, resulting in a new, highly conserved RNA secondary structure, the THI element, which is widely distributed in eubacteria and also occurs in some archaea. The record is from RNAcentral. Lineage: Bacteria; Bacillati; Actinomycetota; Actinomycetes; Micrococcales; Intrasporangiaceae.
UUUCAACGACAGGGGAGCGCAGAUUGCGCUGAGAGUGCGGACAGAUCCGCAGACCCUCGAACCUGAUCCGGUUAGCACCGGCGAAGGGAGUCGAGCUUCUCGAGGU